Ostrea edulis (European flat oyster) is the source of this 1231-nucleotide long non-coding RNA. RefSeq lists it as uncharacterized. The transcript has 4 exons. NCBI's taxonomy places the organism in Eukaryota, Metazoa, Mollusca, Bivalvia, Ostreida, Ostreidae. The record is from RefSeq and is a predicted model, not a curated record.
CUAUAUAUCUUUUUAUCUGACCCACAAGGUGCUGACGGAUGGUGAGACAUGCAGUUGAACAGAUGCUCUGUGCUGCACCAUAAUAUGACCAGUCUAUGACGGUUAAGACCUUUAUGGAGAUCUGGAAAAGUUUCCCUUGAAACUAAAGUAAAGAUCUAUAGCAGUAAUGUCAAGUCCAUAUUACUUUAUGGAGCAGAGUGCUGGAAACUCGUUCAGAGCGACCUUAAGAAGCUGUCAUCCUUCCAUAACACCUGCCUUAGGAGAAUCUGCAAAAUCUAUUGGCCGAAAAAGAUCUCUAAUAAAGACCUAUGGAGUAAGACAUCUCAAAAGAGCAUCCAAUUAGAAAUUAAACAACGCAGAUGGAGGUGGCUAGGGCACGCCAUGAGAAUGAACAAAGCAUGCGCAGCAAAUGUCGCUCUCAGAUGGACUCCUGAAGGGAAAAGAAAGAGGGGAAGACCAAAAGAAACCUGGCGAAGAAUGAUAGAUGGAGAGUUGAAAGAGAUGGGACUGACCUGGAAAGAAGCGGAAAAGAAGGCAAGGGACAGACAAGUGUGGCGGGAGCUGAUUUCAGCCUUAUGUGCAGACAUGCACGAAGAGGACUAAGUCAUGACCUCAAAGGAGAAUCAAAAUUCAGGGAACUUCAAUUUGUUUCGUACCAAGAAAACAAAGAAAACUGAGAACCAGCCAUCCUUCCCUUGAAAAUAAAAUUGUGAUGAGACAAUCCAUUAGAUACAUACUAAAGCCUCAAUGUCAUCAAAGUACCAAGCGUUCCAACCCUCCACGACGUUUUCCGGCUUCUCCGAUUCCGAGUGGAGCUACAAGGAAGCACGAGAUUGUUUUAGACAUGCUUAGAUUUCACAGGGGGUUGUUUGUUAGACAGCCACCCAGAGACAUUCAGAUAUACAGGACAGCAGUUUGCAAUUUUUAGACUUGGCAAUUUAAUUUUGUUGGAUGUCAUAUACUGUAAAAGUGGUUAUUUACGCGUGGGGAAAUUUACGUGAUCACAUAAUUAGUGUAUCUCACAUGUGUAUAGUUAUAAAUAUUUGAUAUAAUAUAUUCAGUUACCACGAAUGUUUCCACCACGCGUAAUGUUGGAAGUGGAAAAACGCGUACUUAACCCCCAGCGUAAAUAACCACCUUUACCGUACUGCUAUUAGACAAUCUUUAGGAUUGCGAUUUUCACCUCUUGUAGAACAGGAAGUACAGGCGGGUUACAUUGCUGGAGGUAGUA